UGGCGGACGGGUGAGUAACGCGUGGGUAACCUGCCUCAUACAGGGGGAUAACGGUUAGAAAUGACUGCUAAUACCGCAUAAGCGCACAGUACCGCAUGGUACGGUGUGAAAAACUCCGGUGGUAUGGGAUGGACCCGCGUCUGAUUAGCUGGUUGGUGAGGUAACGGCCCACCAAGGCGACGAUCAGUAGCCGACCUGAGAGGGUGACCGGCCACAUUGGGACUGAGACACGGCCCAG
This 238-nucleotide ribosomal RNA is filed under the name uncultured bacterium. RNAcentral's name for it is "partial 16S ribosomal RNA". It matches the Rfam family "Bacterial small subunit ribosomal RNA", at positions 96 to 334 of the family's 1533-position model. The record is from RNAcentral.